Molecule: ribosomal RNA, 493 nt
Filed under: uncultured bacterium
Lineage: Bacteria
Description: bacterial SSU rRNA
Rfam family: Bacterial small subunit ribosomal RNA
Source: RNAcentral
UGAACGCUAGCGACAGGCCUAACACAUGCAAGUCGAGGGGCAGCACAAGGAGCAAUCUGAGGUGGCGACCGGCGCACGGGUGAGUAACACGUAUGCAACCUGCCUGUAAGCGGGGAAUAACCCGUUGAAAGACGGACUAAUACCGCAUAAUACUAAAUUACUGCAUGGUAAUUAUUUAAACAUUUAUGGCUUACAGAUGGGCAUGCGCAUGAUUAGCUAGUUGGAGAGGUAACGGCUCCCCAAGGCAACGAUCAUUAGGGGUUCUGAGAGGAAGGUCCCCCCACACUGGUACUGAGACACGGACCAGACUCCUACGGGAGGCAGCAGUGAGGAAUAUUGGUCAAUGGACGAGAGUCUGAACCAGCCAAGUCGCGUGCAGGAAGAAUGUCCUAUGGAUUGUAGACUGCUUUUGCAGGGGAAUAAAGUGCAUCACGUGUGAUGUUUUGUAUGUACUCUGCGAAUAAGGAUCGGCUAACUCCGUGCCAGCCGCCGC